UGAGUACGAGCGGCUACGGCCGCGAAGUGGAUGAUGUCAAGCUUCCAAGAAAAGCCCUAUACCCGUUAAGGCAUGAUGGCCUGUACCCGAAACCGACACAGGUGGGGUGGUAGAGAAUACCGAGGGGCGCGAGGUAACUCUCUCUAAGGAACUCGGCAAAAUGGCCCCGUAACUUCGGGAGAAGGGGUGCCACCGCGAGGUGGUCGCAGUGAAGAGGCCCAGGCGACUGUUUACCAAAAACACAGGUCUCCGCUAAGUCGCAAGACGAUGUAUGGGGGCUGACGCCUGCCCAGUGCCGGAAGGUUAAGGAAGCUGGUCAGCGCAAGCGAAGCUGGCGACUGAAGCCCCGGUGAACGGCGGCCGUAACUAUAACGGUCCUAAGGUAGCGAAAUUCCUUGUCGGGUAAGUUCCGACCCGCACGGAAGGCGUAACGAUCUGGGCGCUGUCUCGGAGAGAGGCUCGGCGAAAUAGAAUUGUCUGUGAAGAUGCGGACUACGUGCACCCGGACAGAAAGACCCUAUGAAGCUUUACUGUAGCUUGGUAUUGUGCUCGGGCUCGGAAUGCGCAGGAUAGGUGGGAGGCUUUGAUCCAUUGCUUGCGGGUGAUGGUGAGCCACUGGUGAGAUACCACUCUUUCUGAGCUAGAGUUCUAACAGCAACCCGUUAUCCGGGUGCUGGACAGUAUCAGGUGGGCAGUUUGACUGGGGCGGUCGCCUCCUAAAAGGUAACGGAGGCGCGCAAAGGUCUGCUCAGGCUGGUUGGAAAUCAGCCGACGAGUGUAAAAGCAGAAGCAGGCUUGACUGUGAGACCUACAAGUCGAACAGGGAGGAAACUCGGCUUUAGUGAUCCGACGGUUCUGCGUGGAAGGGCCGUCGCUCAACGGAUAAAAGUUACUCUAAGGAUAACAGGCUGAUCUCCCCCAAGAGUUCACAUCGACGGGGAGGUUUGGCACCUCGAUGUCGGCUCAUCGCAACCUGGGGCUGAAGUCGGUCCCAAGGGUUGGGCUGUUCGCCCAUUAAAGCGGUACGCGAGCUGGGUUCAGAACGUCGUGAGACAGUUCGGUCCAUAUCCGGUGCACGCGCAGGAAUAUUGAGAGGAUUUCUCCCUAGUACGAGAGGACCGGGGGGAACGCACCUCUGGUGUGCCAGUUAUCGUGCCAACGGUAAACGCUGGGUAGCCAUGUGCGGAGUGGAUAACCGCUGAAAGCAUCUAAGUGGGAAGCCCACCUCAAGAUGAGUAUUCCCAUGGGGUAACCCAGUAAGGUCACGGGAAGAACACCCGUUGAUAGGCUCUACGUGGAAGCGCAGUAAUGUGUGAAGCGGAGGAGUACUAAUAGACCGAGGGCUUGAUC
Molecule: ribosomal RNA, 1350 nt
Filed under: metagenome
Description: bacterial LSU rRNA
Rfam family: Bacterial large subunit ribosomal RNA
Source: RNAcentral